GAUGCCUAAAAAGCAUUGCAUAGCAAGGGCCGGGCAAGACCGGUGCCAGCCGCCGCGGUAACACCGGCGGCUCGAGUGGUAACCGUUAUUAUUGGGUCUAAAGGGUCUGUAGCCGGCCGGAUAAGUCUCUUGGGAAAUCUGGCAGCUUAACUGUCAGGCUUUCAGGAGAUACUGUCUGGCUCGAGGCCGGGAGAGGUGAGAGGUACUUCAGGGGUAGGGGUGAAAUCUUGUAAUCCUUGAAGGACCACCAGUGGCGAAGGCGUCUCACCAGAACGGACCUGACGGCAAGGGACGAAAGCUAGGGGCACGAACCGGAUUAGAUACCCGGGUAGUCCUAGCCGUAAACGAUACUCGCUAGGUGUCGGCCACGGUGCGACCGUUGUCAGUGCCGUAGGGAAGCCGUGAAGCGAGCCACCUGGGAAGUACGGCCGCAAGGCUGAAACUUAAAGGAAUUGGCGGGGGAGCACCACAACGGGUGGAGCUUGCGGUUUAAUUGGAUUCAACGCCGGAAAUCUUACCGGGACCGACAGCAAUAUGAAGGCCAGGCUGAAGACUUUGCCGGAUUAGCUGAGAGGUGGUGCAUGGCCGUCGUCAGUUCGUACUUUGAAGCAUAAUCACU
Molecule: ribosomal RNA, 619 nt
Filed under: uncultured Methanosaeta sp.
Lineage: Archaea; Methanobacteriati; Methanobacteriota; Methanomicrobia; Methanotrichales; Methanotrichaceae
Description: bacterial SSU rRNA
Rfam family: Archaeal small subunit ribosomal RNA
Source: RNAcentral